GCCUGUUAGGUCCGGGUCCCAGUCGAUCUGCUCCGGCCCGCGGGGGCAGCGAUGUCGCGGCUGCUGGUGCGUGGGGGCCGCGUGGUGCACCCCGAGGGCUCGCAGGAUGCCGACGUGCUGGUGCAGGACGGCCUGGUGCGUGCGCUCGGCCCGGGGCUGCGGGCGCCCGCGGGGACCCGCGUGCUGGACGCGACGGGGAAGCUGGUGCUGCCCGGAGGCAUCGACCCGCACACGCACCUGCAGCUGCCCUUCAUGGGCACCCGCUCCGCGGACGACUUCCUGCGGGGCACGCAGGCUGCUCUGGCGGGGGGCACGACCACGAUCAUCGACUUCGCCAUCCCUCCGAAGGGCGGCUCCCUCCUGGAUGCCUUCGACACCUGGCGGCGCUGGGCUGACUCCAAAGUCUGCUGUGACUACAGCCUGCACGUGGCCGUGACGUGGUGGAGCGAGCAGGUCAAAGAAGAAAUGGCCAUCCUCGCCCGGGAGAAAGGUGUUAACUCCUUCAAGAUGUUUAUGGCCUAUAAGGACCUGUUCAUGCUGCGGGACUCAGAGCUGUAUGCUGCCUUCCAGCAGUGCAAGGGGAUCGGCGCUAUCGCUCAGGUCCAUGCAGAGAACGGCGACAUCAUCGCAGAGGAGGCCAAGAAGAUGCUGGCUCUGGGGAUCACCGGCCCCGAGGGCCACGAGCUGUGCCGGCCCGAGGCCGUGGAGGCAGAGGCCACGCUGCGCGCCAUCACCCUGGCCAGCGCGGUGAGCUGUCCCCUGUACGUGGUGCACGUCAUGAGCAAGUCUGCAGCCAAGGUCAUAGCGGACGCCAGGAGAGACGGGAAGGUGGUCUACGGAGAGCCCAUAGCGGCCAGCCUGGGCACUGACGGCACUCACUACUGGAGUAAAGAAUGGCACCACGCAGCCCACCACGUCAUGAGCCCACCCCUGCGGCCAGACCCUUCCACACCGGGCUUCCUUAUGAACCUCCUGGCUAACGGUGAUCUGACCACAACAGCGACUGACCACUGCACCUUCAACACCUGCCAGAAAGCUCUUGGGAAGGAUGACUUUACCAAGAUCCCCAACGGGGUGAAUGGCGUGGAGGACCGGAUGUCCGUCAUAUGGGAAAGAGGCGUGCAUAGUGGCAAAAUGGACGAAAACCGAUUUGUGGCCGUUACCAGCACAAACGCAGCCAAAAUCUUUAAUCUUUACCCGAGGAAAGGAAUAAUCGCUGUGGGGUCUGAUGCUGACAUUGUGAUUUGGGACCCGAAUGCCACAAGGACCAUCUCAGCUAAGACUCACCAUCAGGCUGUGAACUUCAACAUCUUUGAGGGCAUGGUGUGCCAUGGGGUGCCGCUGGUGACAAUUUCAAGGGGCAAAGUGGUGUACGAAGCUGGAGCACUCAGCGUCACACCAGGACAUGGGAAGUUUAUUCCACGCAAACCAUUUGCUGAAUACAUUUACAAGCGGAUCCAGCAGCGAGACCAGACUUGCACACCUACCCCCGUGAAGCGGGCGCCCUACGAGGGAGAAGUCAUCACCCUGACAUGCAGAGAGGCACCGGAGGACUCCUCAGCGGGGACCCAGGCACAGGCGGCUCCCUGAUCCGGGUCCCGGGACUCAUCCAGCUCAGGAGCAUUUGAGCCAAGUUGGGAGGUGAAAUCCGAGGGGAAGGCGCCUCGCUCCGCUCGGGGAGCAUCGUGGGCUGUUUCGGCGCCUGUUCCCUUCAGGAAACUCGCCUCACCUGGCCUCUCCGAGACGCCCUCUCAGAAGCGAUCACUGUCUUCCUGUGCCUCUGUGGCUGUGGUGAGACUGAAAUGGAAACGAGUGUCACCGCCCUGGGACAUCUGCGUGACAGCUCCUAGACAGGACUCAGAUGCUGUCCUUGCCUGCACUAGUAUAUUUUUCUCUGAAAUUUAAAAAAUCACUUUCUUUCUUGUUUAAAGGUUUUUAAAUGGCUAAUUUGUUUUAAGCCAGCUCUGUGAUUUUGCCUUUGAAGGAUUUAAUAAACCUUGAGACCCUCA
This is an RNA transcript of Octodon degus (degu), 2009 nucleotides long. It is a transcript of the gene named dihydropyrimidinase, with no coding region annotated. The transcript has 11 exons. NCBI's taxonomy places the organism in Eukaryota, Metazoa, Chordata, Mammalia, Rodentia, Octodontidae. The record is from RefSeq and is a predicted model, not a curated record.